AUUGAACGCUGGCGGCAUGCCUUACACAUGCAAGUCGAACGGCAGCAUAGGAGCUUGCUCCUGAUGGCGAGUGGCGAACGGGUGAGUAAUAUAUCGGAACGUGCCCUAGAGUGGGGGAUAACUAGUCGAAAGACUAGCUAAUACCGCAUACGAUCUACGGAUGAAAGUGGGGGAUCGCAAGACCUCAUGCUCCUGGAGCGGCCGAUAUCUGAUUAGCUAGUUGGAGGGGUAAAAGCUCACCAAGGCGACGAUCAGUAGCUGGUCUGAGAGGACGACCAGCCACACUGGGACUGAGACACGGCCCAGACUCCUACGGGAGGCAGCAGUGGGGAAUUUUGGACAAUGGGGGCAACCCUGAUCCAGCAAUGCCGCGUGAGUGAAGAAGGCCUUCGGGUUGUAAAGCUCUUUUGUCAGGGAAGAAACGGUUCUGGAUAAUACCUGGGACUAAUGACGGUACCUGAAGAAUAAGCACCGGCUAACUACGUGCCAGCAGCCGCAGUAA
RNAcentral lists this ribosomal RNA (502 nucleotides) under uncultured bacterium. RNAcentral describes it as "partial 16S ribosomal RNA". It matches the Rfam family "Bacterial small subunit ribosomal RNA", at positions 30 to 523 of the family's 1533-position model. The record is from RNAcentral.